UGCCCAAAGGCACAUAUAUACAUAGAGAUAAACAUGGGCUAUACAUAGAGGAAAAUAGACCAUUUCAGUGAACACAAAGAUGUAUCCAAGCCUCAUUUUGUCCUUCUUAGAAGGAGAACGACCCUCUGUUUUGGCCAUUUUCUCUGAAAUAACGCAGCAGCUACUCUUAUUAUUUCCAAGCUCGUGGUGACGUGAAAAAUAGGAGGGCUAUCCGUGGGAACAACCUCAAGGAAUGGCAACAACCAGAAGAAAUCUUCAAGAGUUAGUUUCAAAGUUUAAUCUUAGUGUUGGAACCCCAAGAAAUUAAUGUUCGUUGGGUCAUCUGGGACUCGUGGCACUCUCGUUAGCCCAUGAAGGAAUUGAGGUACAGACGUUCGUUCAGGUGACCCGCCAGUGUAGGAUACUUAUUCUGCUAUUUGGAGUACUCCUUUUGAUCCGGAGCUCAUAUUUUUGGUACAUAUCUUCUGUUAUACAUGUUCUGUAUAUAUGGCUAUUUGGGUACGGCGGGGCCCUGUUCCGUCAUAUGUUUCUGUUAUGGUUUGUAGAGGCCUGUAGUCAUAUAUGUGGGUCAUGGGUCACGUUUGUUCGAUUAUGUUUGUGAUUUGUGCCUUAAGCGGCCCCAUUUGCUAUUAUGGCCAAAACGGCCCUUAUGUUUGUAAAUGUAUGUGUAUUCGGGCGAUGUAUAUUCCGCCAGCCUACCGGAUUUUGAUAUGAUAUUUCGGUACGGGUGACCGCUUAGGAUGAUAUCUGUUUUCAGU
Molecule: long non-coding RNA, 758 nt
Organism: Lycium barbarum (goji berry)
Lineage: Eukaryota; Viridiplantae; Streptophyta; Magnoliopsida; Solanales; Solanaceae
Exons: 3
Source: RefSeq, a predicted model, not a curated record